UACGUAGGUGGCAAGCGUUGUCCGGAAUCACUGGGCGUAAAGCGCGCGCAGGCGGCGAUCUACGUCUGGGGGUGAAAGCCCGGAGCUCAACUCCGGGACUGCCUUGGAUACGGGAUCGCUUGAGGAUUGGAGAGGCAAGGGGAAUUCCACGUGUAGCGGUGAAAUGCGUAGAGAUGUGGAGGAACACCUGUGGCGAAGGCGCCUUGCUGGCCAAUUACUGACGCUGAGGCACGGAAGCGUGGGGGAUCAAACAGG
Molecule: ribosomal RNA, 255 nt
Filed under: uncultured bacterium
Lineage: Bacteria
Description: partial 16S ribosomal RNA
Rfam family: Bacterial small subunit ribosomal RNA
Source: RNAcentral